UUAAGCGACUAAGCGUACACGGUGGAUGCCCUGGCAGUCAGAGGCGAUGAAGGACGUGCUAAUCUGCGAUAAGCGUCGGUAAGGUGAUAUGAACCGUUAUAACCGGCGAUUUCCGAAUGGGGAAACCCAGUGUGUUUCGACACACUAUCAUUAACUGAAUCCAUAGGUUAAUGAGGCGAACCGGGGGAACUGAAACAUCUAAGUACCCCGAGGAAAAGAAAUCAACCGAGAUUCCCCCAGUAGCGGCGAGCGAACGGGGAGCAGCCCAGAGCCUGAAUCAGUGUGUGUGUUAGUGGAAGCGUCUGGAAAGGCGCGCGAUACAGGGUGACAGCCCCGUACACAAAAAUGCACAUGCUGUGAGCUCGAUGAGUAGGGCGGGACACGUGGUAUCCUGUCUGAAUAUGGGGGGACCAUCCUCCAAGGCUAAAUACUCCUGACUGACCGAUAGUGAACCAGUACCGUGAGGGAAAGGCGAAAAGAACCCCGGCGAGGGGAGUGAAAAAGAACCUGAAACCGUGUACGUACAAGCAGUGGGAGCACGCUUCGGCGUGUGACUGCGUACCUUUUGUAUAAUGGGUCAGCGACUUAUAUUCUGUAGCAAGGUUAACCGAAUAGGGGAGCCGAAGGGAAACCGAGUCUUAACUGGGCGUUAAGUUGCAGGGUAUAGACCCGAAACCCGGUGAUCUAGCCAUGGGCAGGUUGAAGGUUGGGUAACACUAACUGGAGGACCGAACCGACUAAUGUUGAAAAAUUAGCGGAUGACUUGUGGCUGGGGGUGAAAGGCCAAUCAAACCGGGAGAUAGCUGGUUCUCCCCGAAAGCUAUUUAGGUAGCGCCUCGUGAAUUCAUCUCCGGGGGUAGAGCACUGUUUCGGCAAGGGGGUCAUCCCGACUUACCAACCCGAUGCAAACUGCGAAUACCGGAGAAUGUUAUCACGGGAGACACACGGCGGGUGCUAACGUCCGUCGUGAAGAGGGAAACAACCCAGACCGCCAGCUAAGGUCCCAAAGUCAUGGUUAAGUGGGAAACGAUGUGGGAAGGCCCAGACAGCCAGGAUGUUGGCUUAGAAGCAGCCAUCAUUUAAAGAAAGCGUAAUAGCUCACUGGUCGAGUCGGCCUGCGCGGAAGAUGUAACGGGGCUAAACCAUGCACCGAAGCUGCGGCAGCGACGCUGAUGCGUUGUUGGGUAGGGGAGCGUUCUGUAAGCCUGUGAAGGUGUGCUGUGAGGCAUGCUGGAGGUAUCAGAAGUGCGAAUGCUGACAUAAGUAACGAUAAAGCGGGUGAAAAGCCCGCUCGCCGGAAGACCAAGGGUUCCUGUCCAACGUUAAUCGGGGCAGGGUGAGUCGACCCCUAAGGCGAGGCCGAAAGGCGUAGUCGAUGGGAAACAGGUUAAUAUUCCUGUACUUGGUGUUACUGCGAAGGGGGGACGGAGAAGGCUAUGUUGGCCGGGCGACGGUUGUCCCGGUUUAAGCGUGUAGGCUGGUUUUCCAGGCAAAUCCGGAAAAUCAAGGCUGAGGCGUGAUGACGAGGCACUACGGUGCUGAAGCAACAAAUGCCCUGCUUCCAGGAAAAGCCUCUAAGCAUCAGGUAACAUCAAAUCGUACCCCAAACCGACACAGGUGGUCAGGUAGAGAAUACCAAGGCGCUUGAGAGAACUCGGGUGAAGGAACUAGGCAAAAUGGUGCCGUAACUUCGGGAGAAGGCACGCUGAUAUGUAGGUGAAGUCCCUCGCGGAUGGAGCUGAAAUCAGUCGAAGAUACCAGCUGGCUGCAACUGUUUAUUAAAAACACAGCACUGUGCAAACACGAAAGUGGACGUAUACGGUGUGACGCCUGCCCGGUGCCGGAAGGUUAAUUGAUGGGGUUAGCGCAAGCGAAGCUCUUGAUCGAAGCCCCGGUAAACGGCGGCCGUAACUAUAACGGUCCUAAGGUAGCGAAAUUCCUUGUCGGGUAAGUUCCGACCUGCACGAAUGGCGUAAUGAUGGCCAGGCUGUCUCCACCCGAGACUCAGUGAAAUUGAACUCGCUGUGAAGAUGCAGUGUACCCGCGGCAAGACGGAAAGACCCCGUGAACCUUUACUAUAGCUUGACACUGAACAUUGAGCCUUGAUGUGUAGGAUAGGUGGGAGGCUUUGAAGUGUGGACGCCAGUCUGCAUGGAGCCGACCUUGAAAUACCACCCUUUAAUGUUUGAUGUUCUAACGUUGACCCGUAAUCCGGGUUGCGGACAGUGUCUGGUGGGUAGUUUGACUGGGGCGGUCUCCUCCUAAAGAGUAACGGAGGAGCACGAAGGUUGGCUAAUCCUGGUCGGACAUCAGGAGGUUAGUGCAAUGGCAUAAGCCAGCUUGACUGCGAGCGUGACGGCGCGAGCAGGUGCGAAAGCAGGUCAUAGUGAUCCGGUGGUUCUGAAUGGAAGGGCCAUCGCUCAACGGAUAAAAGGUACUCCGGGGAUAACAGGCUGAUACCGCCCAAGAGUUCAUAUCGACGGCGGUGUUUGGCACCUCGAUGUCGGCUCAUCACAUCCUGGGGCUGAAGUAGGUCCCAAGGGUAUGGCUGUUCGCCAUUUAAAGUGGUACGCGAGCUGGGUUUAGAACGUCGUGAGACAGUUCGGUCCCUAUCUGCCGUGGGCGCUGGAGAACUGAGGGGGGCUGCUCCUAGUACGAGAGGACCGGAGUGGACGCAUCACUGGUGUUCGGGUUGUCAUGCCAAUGGCACUGCCCGGUAGCUAAAUGCGGAAGAGAUAAGUGCUGAAAGCAUCUAAGCACGAAACUUGCCCCGAGAUGAGUUCUCCCUGACUCCUUGAGAGUCCUGAAGGAACGUUGAAGACGACGACGUUGAUAGGCCGGGUGUGUAAGCGCAGCGAUGCGUUGAGCUAACCGGUACUAAUGAACCGUGAGGCUUAACCUU
RNAcentral lists this ribosomal RNA (2902 nucleotides) under Escherichia coli. Its description in RNAcentral is "bacterial LSU rRNA". It matches the Rfam family "Bacterial large subunit ribosomal RNA". Lineage: Bacteria; Pseudomonadati; Pseudomonadota; Gammaproteobacteria; Enterobacterales; Enterobacteriaceae. The record is from RNAcentral.